ACGCUGGCGGCGUGCCUAAUACAUGCAAGUAGAACGCUGAAGGAGGAGCUUGCUUCUCUGGAUGAGUUGCGAACGGGUGAGUAACGCGUAGGUAACCUGCCUGGUAGCGGGGGAUAACUAUUGGAAACGAUAGCUAAUACCGCAUAACAGUAGAUGUUGCAUGACAUUUGCUUAAAAGGUGCAAUUGCAUCACUACCAGAUGGACCUGCGUUGUAUUAGCUAGUUGGUGGGGUAACGGCUCACCAAGGCGACGAUACAUAGCCGACCUGAGAGGGUGAUCGGCCACACUGGGACUGUGACACGGCCCAGACUCCUACGGGAGGCAGCAGUAGGGAAUCUUCGGCAAUGGACGGAAGUCUGACCGAGCAACGCCGCGUGAGUGAAGAAGGUUUUCGGAUCGUAAAGCUCUGUUGUAAGAGAAGAACAGGUGUGAGAGUGGAAAGUUCACACUGUGACGGUAUCUUACCAGAAAGGGACGGCUAACUACGUGCCAGCAGCCGCGGUAAUACGUAGGUCCCGAGCGUUGUCCGGAUUUAUUGGGCGUAAAGCGAGCGCAGGCGGUUAGAUAAGUCUGAAGUUAAAGGCUGUGGCUUAACCAUAGUACGCUUUGGAAACUGUUUAACUUGAGUGCAAGAGGGGAGAGUGGAAUUCCAUGUGUAGCGGUGAAAUGCGUAGAUAUAUGGAGGAACACCGGUGGCGAAAGCGGCUCUCUGGCUUGUAACUGACGCUGAGGCUCGAAAGCGUGGGGAGCAAACAGGAUUAGAUACCCCUGGUAGUCCACGCCGUAAACGAUGAGUGCUAGGUGUUAGACCCUUUCCGGGGUUUAGUGCCGCAGCUAACGCAUUAAGCACUCCGCCUGGGGAGUACGACCGCAAGGUUGAAACUCAAAGGAAUUGACG
Molecule: ribosomal RNA, 899 nt
Filed under: uncultured bacterium
Lineage: Bacteria
Description: bacterial SSU rRNA
Rfam family: Bacterial small subunit ribosomal RNA
Source: RNAcentral